This 8182-nucleotide long non-coding RNA is filed under the name Elaeis guineensis (African oil palm). RNAcentral's name for it is "long non-coding RNA (EGUI_LNC047735)". Lineage: Eukaryota; Viridiplantae; Streptophyta; Magnoliopsida; Arecales; Arecaceae. The record is from RNAcentral.
GUGUGAUAAGUAUGGAAAAUUAUCAGAUGAUGGAGCGUUGCUUUUAACGCCCUUUUACUGGGUGUGUGCGCACGCGACAGAGAAAGGACUCGUGCGUCUCUCCGUGAUGAAGAGUCCUUCUAUUGUUUAAAUUCCUAUCCAAAUGGGGCAUCCCUUGCUGAUAGCCUUCCCAUUUGAAUCAAAGAAUACGUGGCAAAGUUUCAUGCUAAUCUAGAAUCAGAAGAGACACCAAUUGCCUCUCUUUCUGGGCAUGCACGCAUGAGAGGGAAGUACUCGACAUAUCACACCCCGACGAGUCCUGUUUAAAGACUCUCAGAUAAAUGAUACGAGGACCUGAUAUGCCUUUCCAGAUAAGUCGUGUCUUCUAUGUUGGCGCCCCAUCUGGUGCUAUAAAUAGGAGACGACAGAUGAAUUGAUCAUUCAAUUCUUACAUCCCUUAUCCACUCCCUCUCUUACAACUUUAGGAUUUAGGACAAAGAUUUGUUCUUUUAAGACAAGCCUAUUUCUAAUAGCUCUAAGGGUUUAAGAGGUCCAGAAGAAGGUGGUCAGGACCAGUGGAUGGUUCUGAGAGGUUCAAACUCAAGUUUGAACGAAGGUCUGAUCAACUGGUGGCUAGUCAAGUUCUAGGGGUUAGAACUCUUGAAGCAAGGUCAAGAAGGAGCGCUGUCUUUGGUCCGAUUUCCGUAUGGAUCAUCAUUAGAGGGCAGACACUUGGACACCUCGUGAAAAUUGGAAAUAGUGCUACAAAUAUUCUUCUUAUCCAAGUUUAAUUUAAUUGUACUUUGAUUGUUAUAGUCAAGGAUGUCUGGGCAUUAGGAUUUCCGAUGCGUUAGGUGUUUUGAAUAAAAUUUUAAAUACCUAGCCCUUCUGCUGCGCCACCGAAACCCAACAGUGGUAUCAGAGCAAACCUUGAUUUUUAUAAUCAAAGGUUAGAAUAUUGUCUUAAUUAUGAUCAAACUUGGAUUUUUGGUUUGGUUCAAGUCGGAUCAAUGGUUGAACCCAAUUGAACAUCCAAACCCUAGCAUGUCUUAGAGAUAUGUUUUAGAUACAUACAUGAUGUAUGUAUAGAAUUUUUUUUAGUAGCCUAGUACUCGAAUUGGGUUCAUCACCAAACCAUCCGGUCAUAAGAGCAAAUAAGGUUCAAAGACUUUCUCUUCCCAUUCUAUGGGGUACUCUUAUGGCAUGUAGGGGUGCCACUGUGAUGUCCCAAGAAGAUGAACUGUGAAAAGAAUGUUUUAUAUUGAUACAUGUUAUUAGUACUUCAUGCAUAUGAUAUAAUUGCUUUGUUAUAAUCAUGUUGUAUAAUUAUGAUUUCAUAUUUUAGAGAUAUAAUUAGAUGUCAUAAUUAGUUGUUAUGAUACAAUUGUAAUAGUGCAUCGUUAUGAUUGGCUGAUUUAGGAUGUGCAUGAGACCAUUAAAGCCCUCAUAAAAAUCAUAUUAAGUCGUAGUAUUGUGAACCAGUAGCAGACUUAUUUCUUGAAUCGACUAAUCAAUUGGUGUCUAAGGAGUGUUUCAAGUGUGGUAGUUCUUUAAUUGGUUCCGUUUGCUGGCCUGACCAAUUUAUUAGUGUCUAAGAAAAGCAACAAGGGAUCCCCGCCAAUCUUAACACUUUUCUGGCCAAUUGGAUUAGAUCAAAUUUUGAAUAAAAGUUGCUCCGUAUUUUUAACACUACAUAUGCCUUCCUUCAUGUCUAGUCAAUAUCCUGUCAAAGAUCAUAGUAGGUUUGUUGUGAUAUCCAUAAGGCUUGCUAUGAGAAUUGAUAUGAGAUUGUCUUGGUGCAUAUUAUAUGUUUUAUGCCAUAUUUGGAUAUAUUGCUUUGUUGUGAUAUUCACAAGAGCAGCAUUUUUCAGAUAUGACUGUAUGGAAAUGAAGGGUCUCACUUAACUAAAAAUACUAUAGUUUGUUGUGAUAUCCACAAGACUACGAGUGUUUUAGAGGCAAGGAUUAUGUUGAGAAUUGCAUGAGAUGCAAUUGGAUAGGUUUUCCUACCUUUGAACUCACUGAGAUUUGUUGUGAUAUCCACAAAGCUUCAUUGAGUGAUUAAGAUCUCAACCCCAUUAAGAAACUAGAUUAGGAUUUCUCGUUUACCAUAAGACAGGGCUCUGAUAUCCGAUAAAAUAGUGGGAGACAUAACUAGUUAAAAGACCUCAUCUAGUUAUGCAUGUCGAAUAUAAGUGGUCUACUUAUACUAUUGUUCUUUAUUAUGGCUUCCUUAUUUUCACUGCAUGAAAUAUGUUAACCGAUCCAAACUAUGAAGAUUGAUUGAGGAACUUGCAAAUUAGGUUCGUACCGAAGAAGAACUCCUAUGUUCUGGAUAUUCCUGAUCCUAGAUCGAUCAGUAAUAAUAAGAAGGCAAAAGAUGUCCACUUGGAUAUUAUUUGUUCAUUUUAUGGCAAAUUUGGACAUUGGGAGAAUAAUUGCAAGAAUUAUCUUGCAAGAUUGAAGCAAGGUGCAAGUAUAGUACCAAAAGGUGUGUAUAUGAUACAGACCUAUUUUUUAUUGAGUGGCUCAGACUCUGAUACUUGGGUAUUGGAUACCGCCUAUAGAUCGUAUAUUUGUAAUUCAUUACAGCGACUAAAGAAUAUCAAAGAUCUGAAAAGAGAUGAUCUUGAGCUUUAUGGCGCAAGUGGAAAAUCCAUUAGCACAAAAGCUAUGGAAACCUAUAUGCUUAAUUUGCCUUCGGACAAAACUUUAGAAUUGAAAGACUGUUAUUACAUGCCAAAGAUCAUUAGAAACAUUAUUUCUAUAUCUUUGUUAUUAAAAUAAGGUUAUGAAAUAAGGCUAAUGAGAAAUGGAUGCUUCAUUUACUUUUUUAAUGAAUUUUAUGGCAGUGGUAAUAUUGAUAACAAUCUUUUAAUUUUUGCACUCAAUGAAAAUAUUUUUCAUAUUGAUAGAAAUAUGAAAAGAAAGAGAGAAGAUGUGAAUAUCACAUAUCUCUAGUAUUGCCGUCUUGAUCAUAUUAGUGAGUCAAGGAUAAACAAAUUAUAUAAAAAAAAUUUUUGGAUCCGUAUGAUUAUAAAUCAUUAAGAGCUUGUGAAUCUUGUCUCAUGGGUAAGAUGAUCAAGACUUCAUUUUCUGGAUAUGGAGAGAGGGCAAAUAAGUUGUUAGCCCUAGUAUAUGCAGAUGUACGUGGACCGAUGACAGCUUAGACCAGAGGAGGAUACUCCUAUUUUAUAACCUUUACAGAUGAUCUAUCAAGGUUUGAAUAUGUGUAUCUUAUGAAACAUAAAUCCGAAGCCUUUGAUAAGUUCAAGGAGUAUCAAAAUAUGGUCGAGAAACAAACUAAAAAAAAUAUCAAGAUUCUUUAAUCUGAUCGAGGAACAAAAUACUUAUCCAGUGAAUUUUUUGAUCAUCUUAAAAGUGAAGGUAUUCUCUCUGAAUAGACCUCUCCUUAUACACCCCAGUUAAAUGGUGUAAUAGAAAGGAGAAAUCGCACUUUGAUGGAUAUGGUGCGGUCUAUGAUAUGCUUCACUGAUCUUCCAAUAUCUUUCUGGAGAUAUGCCCUAGAGACUGCCACAUAUAUUUUAAACAAAGUGCCUUCAAAGUUUGUUGCAAGCACACCAUAUGAGAUAUGGGAGGGAAGGAAGCGUAAUCUUAAACAUCUUAAGAUUUUGGACUGUCCUGCUUAUAUCAAAAAUAUUUUUAGACAUAAGCUUAGUACUAGAUCAAACAGGUGUAGGUUUGUAGGAUAUCCUAAGAAAACUAAUGGAUACUACUUCUACCACCCUACUGGCUACUUAUUAGUAGGCACGCUACUUUCUUGAAAAAUAAAUUCAUCUAAAAAAGAGGAAAUGGGAGGAAUAUUGAACUUACGGAAGUUCAAAAUCUACAAACCAAUCCAAAAAUACCUGUGGUCGAACCACAAGAAGAUCCUCAAUUAGAACUAUCCAAAGAUGAGGUACGUCAACAAUACACACCUCCUCUCCGAAGGUCAAAGUGCGUCAAGUAUCUCUNNNNNNNNNNNNNNNNNNNNUCCACUGACCUAUUCGAAAGCUGUCAUGAGUAAAUACUUAGACAGAUGGCUGGAAGUCAUGAAAUUCGAGAUAGACUCGAUGUAUACCAACCAAAUGUGGACCUUGAUUGAUGCGCCUGAGGGUGUGACCCCAAUAGGGUGCAAGUGGGUUUUCAAGAAGAAAAUCGGAGUAGAUGGCCAAGUAGAAACCUACAAAGCUAGGUUGGUGACGAAGGAUUUCAAACAAAAACAAGGAAUUGACUAUGACGAAACCUUCUCACCAGUGAUCAUGCUCAAGUCCAUCCGAAUUUUGCUUGCUGUAACAGUAUACUAUGACUAUGAAAACUGGCAGAUGGAUGUCAAGACCGCUUUCCUCAAUGAUAAUCUAAAGGAAGAGGUCUAUAUGACUCGGCCAAAGAAAUUUAUCUCAAAUGGGAGGGCAAAUCAAGUAUGCAAACUAAAAAAUCCAUCUAUGGAUUGAAGCAGGCUUCGAGGAGCUAGAACAUCCGAUUUGAUAUGACAGUCAAAGAAUUUAGCUAUAUCAAAAAUGAAGAUGAACUGUGUGUAUAAGAAGACAAGUGGGAGUACUGUUAUCUUCUUGAUUCUGUAUGUCGAUGACAUACUGCUCAUUGGAAAUGAUAUCCUAAUGAUGCAAUCGGUCAAGACUUGACUAUCGAAUAAAUUUUCUAUGAAAGACUGGGGUGAAGCAUCCUAUAUACUGGGUAUAAAGAUCUAUAGAGAUAGAUCUAACAGGAUGUUAGGCUUAUCCCAGUCACGGUACAUAGAUAUCAUAUUAAAGAGAUUUAAUAUGGAGACAAAUAAGAGAGAUUAUCUGCCUGCAAGUCAUGGUAUACGUCUCUCUAAGAAAAUGUGUCCUAAGACACCAGAGGAGAGGAAAAGAAUGAACGAAAUCCCUUAUGCUUCGACUGUGGGAUCAAUUAUGUAUGCCAUGCUAUGUAUCAGGCUUGAUGUAGCUUAUGCUUUAGGCGUAGCUAGCAGAUUUCAGACUAAUCCAGGAAAAGAUCAUUAAAAAGCUGUGAAAAAUAUUUUGAAGUACCUAAAAAGGACUAAAGAUGUUUUUUUUUCAUAUACCGAGGAGGAUCAGAGUUGAAACAAAGGGAUAUAUAGAUUUUAAUUUUCAAUUUGAUCCGGAUGAUAGCAAGUCAAUAUCAGGAUAUAUGUUUACCCUAAAUGGUGGGGCAGUGAGUUGGAAGAGUUCCAAACAUCAAACAGUGGCUGUCUCAACCACUGAGACAAAGUACAUCACUGCUAGUGAAGCCGCUAAGGAAGAUAUCUGGAUGAAGUUCAUCAUGGAAUUAGGAAUCAUUCCUGAGAUUGAAGGACCGGUACCACUCUAUUGUGAUAACACUGAGGCCGUUAUUUAAACUAAGGAACCUAGAUCUCAUCAAAAAUUCAAGCACAUCCUCAGAUGCUUCCAACUCGUUCGAAAAAUUGUAGAGGGACAAGAUGUUGUCCUUGAACGAAUUGACACAAAGAACAUUAUAGCAGAUCUAUUCACUAAGGCCAUACCACAACAGCUAUUUGAUCGCCAUCUUGAUUGUAUGGGAUUGAAAGACAAAGGCAAUUGGCUUUAGUGCAAGUGGGAGAUUGAAAGAAGAGUGCCCUAAGAGCCAAUCGCAAGUGUGUUGUGAUGGAAUUUUUCUUUAUAAUUUUUCAACUCAUGUAAUGACAUUUAUUAUUUGAUAAUAAAAUGAGGCAUUGAUCCAUCAUUGUAGCUGCAUCUGAUUAUGUCUAAGAUUAUGAUGAACCACAAAGAUUAGGAUAAUAAUUUUAGGAGAUAUGAAUGGGUCAUGCUAGUGAGACCUAAAAUCUUAAAACCUUAAUCUUAAAUAUUCCUGAUCGUAAAAGCAUAGAGUCAGGGAUCAAUAUUUCGGAUAGAUUGGCACAUCCUAUGUAUGCUCGACGGAGACGGUGGCUGAUCUCAUUAGCCACUUAUGUGGGACACUAAUACAAGGAUGUGAAUGCCCAUUUGGAUAUGAGUUCACUGAAUUGACUCGAUGACAGAGAACAUCUUAUGGAAGCCUUACUUACAUGUCAAAGAUAAUUCUCUAAGUGGGAGUUGUGCAGGUGAUUCUUAAACCUGAGAUCACCAUGGAAUCUUGUGCACAUGAAUUCAUAUUUUGGUUCAUACCCAGGCAUGACAUUAAGAUAUGUACGGGAUAUUCUAGAUAUGAUAGAGUAUGUAUAAAGGUUAUAAGUAGGUCAACAUGGAAUCAAUCACUCCUAGUAAGAGAAAAUCACAUCUUGUGUAUUCUCAUCUCUAGAUGACUCAGAAAAAAUCUUUUGGCCAAAAGCAGGAAAGAGAUUAGAAAGUUUCUAAUGCUUCAUCAUUGGAGUCAUCAUUAGUUAAUUGAGAAUUAAUAUGAAUAUAUGUUUGAGUUUGACAUAAUUUCAUACACAUGAACAUAUUCAGGAUGUAGGGAUGAUCGAAGGAUUGAAUUACACAGUAACUUGCCACUGAAGGGUAUAUUUGAUAUUUUCAUCAAAUUCCACAUCUUCUGGAUAGUCAUGAUAUAUUGCUAGACGUCAAUCUUGACUUAUAGGUUUGAUCAAAUUAAAGAGUUUAAUUCGAUCGCUAAUUAGAAGGGAUUCUAAUUAUCGAACUCGGAUUAGCUCGAUUGGACCUAAAUCGAUUAGAUUGAAAUCUAAUCAAAUUCGAUCAACUUGCAUCCGGACUAUUGCUGGCUAGAUAUAAAAUCCAAUAGAUCAUGCACAUAUAAAUAUUGGCCAAAGACACUUUUGAUAAGGUUGAUUGGAGUUUUGGAUCCAAUCAGAGUUUUCGAUAAGCAUGCUAGCACAUGUGAAAAUCCUAGCUCCUUGGGAGAUCAAUUUGGUCUCAUACUUUGCUAAUUUGCUAACCCAAUUUGGUGAGCAAUUGGAUUAGGUCGUGCCACUUGGAGGCAGCCUAAAAAGAGGCGCCACAUUUCAUGUUAACGCCAAAAAUCAAGAGUCCCUUUCGUUAAGGACUCUUGGUGCAAUUUUAAGAAGAGCGCACAUGCUUUAUGGUUUUGGCAUGCAGAAGGACCAAGAGUCCUACUUUGGGUCUCUGACUCAUAAGGCAUUAGAUCAGAACCUUAACCACCUUGCAUGCCUUUUAUAGUAUGAAAAAUCCUUUGGAUUGUGCGUGAAAUUCUUAGAACCAUGCCGCACGUGUGAGAGGUCUUUUGGACGCACGAAGAGACGCGAAGAUUCCUUCUGUUUUAAGGAGUCUUAGGCGACACUAUUAUCUGAUAUUUUUCUUGAUAAAGAUCAGAUUUAAAUGCUGAUUCCGUGUGAUAAGUAUAGAAAAUUAUCAGAUGAUGGAGCGUUGCUUUUGACGUUGUUUUACUGGGCGUGCGUGCGCGCGAUCGAAAAAGGACUCGCGCGUCUCUCCGCGAUGAAGAGUCCUGUUGUUUAAAUUCCUAUCCAAAUGGGGCAUCCCUUGCUGAUAGCCUUCUCAUUUGAAUCAAGGAAUACAUGGCAAAGUUUCACACUAAUCUGGAAUCAGAAGAGACACCAAUUGCAUCUCUUUCUGGGCAUGCGCACGUGAGAGAGAAGUACUCGAUGUAUCACAUCCCGAUGAGUCUUUCUGUUUGAAGACUCUCAGAUAAGUGAUACGAGGACCUGAUAUGGCUUUCCAGAUAAGCCGUGUCUUCUCUGUUGGCGCGCCCCAUCUGGUGCUAUAAAUAGGGGACGGCAGAUGAAUUGAUCAUUCAAUUCUUACAUCCCUUAUCCACUCCCUCUCUCCUUCUCUUACAACUCUAAGAUUUAAGACAAAGGCUUGUUAUUUUAAGACAAGCCUAUUCCUAAUAGCUCUAAGGAUUUAAGAGGUCCAGAAGAAGGUGGUCAAGACCAGUGGGUGGUUCUGAGAGGUUCAAACUCAAAUUUGAACGAAGGUCUGAUCGACUGGUGGCUAGUCAAGUUCUAGAGGCCAGAACUCUUGAAGCAAGGUCAAGAAGGAGCGCUGUCUUUGGUCCGAUUUCCGUAUGGAUCACCAUUGGAGAGCGGACACUUAGAUGCCUCGUGAAAAUUGAAAUUAGCGCUACAAGUAUUCUUCUUAUCCAAGUUUAAUUUAAUUGUACUUUGAUUGUUAUGGUCAAGGAUUUUUGGACAUUAGGGUUUUCAGUACGUCAAGUGUUUUGAAUGAAAAUUUUAAACACCUAGUCCUUCCGCUGCGCCAUCAGAACCCAACACACACAAGUCAAAUAAUGCAAAAUUAGAAAUCUAAUG